AACGAACGCUGGCGGCAGGCUUAACACAUGCAAGUCGAACGCUCGUAGCAAUACGGGAGUGGCAGACGGGUGAGUAACACGUGGGAACGUCCCCCUCGGUUCGGAAUAACUCAGGGAAACUUGAGCUAAUACCGGAUACGUCCGAGAGGAGAAAGAUUUAUCGCCGAGGGAUCGGCCCGCGUCUGAUUAGCUAGUUGGUGAGGUAACGGCCCACCAAGGCGACGAUCAGUAGCUGGCUGAGAGGAUGACCAGCCACACUGGGACUGAGACACGGCCCAGACUCCUACGGGAGGCAGCAGUGGGGAAUCUUGGACAAUGGGCGAAAGCCUGAUCCAGCCAUGCCGCGU
RNAcentral lists this ribosomal RNA (347 nucleotides) under uncultured bacterium. RNAcentral describes it as "bacterial SSU rRNA". It matches the Rfam family "Bacterial small subunit ribosomal RNA", at positions 29 to 402 of the family's 1533-position model. The record is from RNAcentral.